This 894-nucleotide ribosomal RNA is filed under the name Streptococcus agalactiae. RNAcentral describes it as "bacterial SSU rRNA". It matches the Rfam family "Bacterial small subunit ribosomal RNA", at positions 56 to 933 of the family's 1533-position model. The record is from RNAcentral. Lineage: Bacteria; Bacillati; Bacillota; Bacilli; Lactobacillales; Streptococcaceae.
UGCAGUAGAACGCUGAUGUUUGGUGUUUACACUAGACUGAUGAGUUGCGAACGGGUGAGUAACGCGUAGGUAACCUGCCUCAUAGCGGGGGAUAACUAUUGGAAACGAUAGCUAAUACCGCAUAAGAGUGAUUAACACAUGUUAGUUAUUUAAAAGGAGCAAUUGCUUCACUGUGAGAUGGACCUGCGUUGUAUUAGCUAGUUGGUGAGGUAAAGGCUCACCAAGGCGACGAUACAUAGCCGACCUGAGAGGGUGAUCGGCCACACUGGGACUGAGACACGGCCCAGACUCCUACGGGAGGCAGCAGUAGGGAAUCUUCGGCAAUGGACGGAAGUCUGACCGAGCAACGCCGCGUGAGUGAAGAAGGUUUUCGGAUCGUAAAGCUCUGUUGUUAGAGAAGAACGUUGGUAGGAGUGGAAAAUCUACCAAGUGACGGUAACUAACCAGAAAGGGACGGCUAACUACGUGCCAGCAGCCGCGGUAAUACGUAGGUCCCGAGCGUUGUCCGGAUUUAUUGGGCGUAAAGCGAGCGCAGGCGGUUCUUUAAGUCUGAAGUUAAAGGCAGUGGCUUAACCAUUGUACGCUUUGGAAACUGGAGGACUUGAGUGCAGAAGGGGAGAGUGGAAUUCCAUGUGUAGCGGUGAAAUGCGUAGAUAUAUGGAGGAACACCGGUGGCGAAAGCGGCUCUCUGGUCUGUAACUGACGCUGAGGCUCGAAAGCGUGGGGAGCAAACAGGAUUAGAUACCCUGGUAGUCCACGCCGUAAACGAUGAGUGCUAGGUGUUAGGCCCUUUCCGGGGCUUAGUGCCGCAGCUAACGCAUUAAGCACUCCGCCUGGGGAGUACGACCGCAAGGUUGAAACUCAAAGGAAUUGACGGGGGCCCGCACAAGCGGU